GAGGGUCAGCCCUGUCCGGUUGGGGCUACUCUUGUGUGGGUUUCUGUUCGGGUUUGACUGUUUCGAACGUUGUCUUUUGGGUUGUUCCCUUUGGGGUUUUGGUUUGUUUUCUUCGGAGUUCCUUUGCUCAUUCCUUGUUGGCGCCUGUGCUCUCAAGGUGUUUGCACACUUUUUUUUUUUGUUUCCUUUUCAAUAAAAUUUCUAUUUCAGCAGUAGUUUUGGAGUUACAUUUGUGAUUUUAUGUGCCUUUUUAAUGGUUUUAAGUAGUGGUAAGGGAGUGGGGCUCUCAAGAGACCUUUUGAGCCUAUAAAUAGGCAUGUAAUCACUUGUAAUAGAGACACCAUUGAUAUAAACGAAAAUUGCUUAUGCUUAGUGAGUUGAAUUCUCUUUGUUGAGUUUUUCACUUGUUUUAGAACUUAUCAAG
RNAcentral lists this long non-coding RNA (424 nucleotides) under Salvia miltiorrhiza (redroot sage). RNAcentral's name for it is "long non-coding RNA (SMIL_LNC009514)". The record is from RNAcentral. Lineage: Eukaryota; Viridiplantae; Streptophyta; Magnoliopsida; Lamiales; Lamiaceae.